This 599-nucleotide ribosomal RNA is filed under the name Xylodon flaviporus. RNAcentral describes it as "eukaryotic LSU rRNA". It matches the Rfam family "Eukaryotic large subunit ribosomal RNA", at positions 66 to 648 of the family's 3401-position model. Lineage: Eukaryota; Fungi; Basidiomycota; Agaricomycetes; Hymenochaetales; Schizoporaceae. The record is from RNAcentral.
UAACAAGGAUUCCCCUAGUAACUGCGAGUGAAGCGGGAAAAGCUCAAAUUUAAAAUCUGACAGUUUCACUGUCCGAGUUGUAAUCUGGAGAAGCAUUUUCCGUGUCGGACCGUGUACAAGUCUCUUGGAAUAGAGCGUCAUAGAGGGUGAGAAUCCCGUCCAUGACACGGACUACCGAUGCUUUGUGAUAUGCUCUCGAAGAGUCGAGUUGUUUGGGAAUGCAGCUCAAAAUGGGUGGUAAAUUCCAUCUAAAGCUAAAUAUUGGCGAGAGACCGAUAGCGAACAAGUACCGUGAGGGAAAGAUGAAAAGCACUUUGGAAAGAGAGUUAAACAGUACGUGAAAUUGUUGAAAGGGAAACGCUUGAAGUCAGUCGCGUUGAUUGAGACUCAGCCUUGCUUUGCAUGGUGUACUUCUCAGUUAACGGGUCAACAUCAAUUUCAGUUGGUGGAUAAAGGCAUUGGGAAUGUGGCACCUUCGGGUGUGUUAUAGACCUUUGUUGCAUACACUGACCGGGAUUGAGGAACGCAGCACGCCACUAAGGCCAGGGGUUCGCCCCAUGUAACGUGCUUAGGAUGUUGGCAUAAUGGCUUUAAGCGAC